UGAACUAUGUGCAACUGGAUCAGCAUCACAGCUCUGGACUCUGAGAGUCCCCAGGAGGCUCCAACACACACACACACACACACACACACACACACGCACGCACGCACGCUCGCGCGCGCGCGCGCGCGCAGAGCUGCAUCACAACUCCAUAGUGUAACCGCCACAAGGAGGGAAAUCCUGGGGACAGGGGUGUCAUUUCCCUGUCAGCACCUUAACCUGAGCGCCAGCCCAUUCCAGUGCAGACGGUGAUGCCCUCAGUCCUAGGCUGGGACAGGGAGUGGCCAGCUGCCGUGGAGUGGGACGGUUACCAUGAGCAGAAGAAACACAGGAUUUGGACACUGGGGUGAUUGCUCAACGUGCUUCCCAGAUCUUGCUAGAGUUCUUCCUUCCUGGCAGUCUCAGCAGCCCCGAAUGACAUUCCCUGGAUUCCUGAAGCCGAGGCCCUGCCUUCUUGCACGUCCUCAGACUUGCAUCUGGUGCUGGCUUAAGUGGGGAUGAGGGACAGUACAAGAUGUACCCACGCUGCCAGUGCAGAUGAGCAGGGCCCUGUGACUCUAUGGCCCAGAGCUGGGGCUGGUGCCUCGCACUGCGACACAGCAAUCACACAGCCCUGUGCAGAAGGCCCUCCACUGGAUGGGAGGCUCUUUGGCCACUGUCUUGAUCCUUAAGUUUGAAGAAGUCUCUAUGUUCGUAUUUUACCUGGGGACACACAGAUUAUGUAGGCAAUCCUGCCAAGAGCUCUGCAAUCAGACGCUCCCCGGUAGAGAGGAAUCACACAGGUCAUCUCCUCCCAGCAGGAGCCCCAGGGAGGCAGGGGCCUCCAGGUGACUGGAUAUGAACCAUAGGCAGUGAGGGGCAGGAGUCAACAGCUGGCCCAGGGGCUUCCUGAUCUUGGUGUUGCCUGGGGGCUAGGUCUUGUAGGCCAUGUCUGCUCAGGGUUCUCUGCCUGCCUGCCUACCCCUCUUCCCUCUUCCUCUUCCCCCUCCCCCUUCC
RNAcentral lists this long non-coding RNA (993 nucleotides) under Fukomys damarensis (Damara mole-rat). RNAcentral describes it as "lncRNA (ENSFDAG00000025959.1)". The record is from RNAcentral. Lineage: Eukaryota; Metazoa; Chordata; Mammalia; Rodentia; Bathyergidae.